AGGAGGCCCAAAUUAAUUGGUUUUAAUCACUAUAAAUUUCCUUCCCAAUAAAAUUUCAAGAAUUUCCAAUCAUGCUGAUUUAUAUGUGUAAUUAGAAAUCCAUUCACAGAUGUCACACUGCUAGGUGGUGGGUAGUGUAAGCCCCGGCUUAACUCCAGCUAGGGGCCUGAGCCAUGAAAAACGAUAAGGGUGAACUUGGCAGGAAGUUGGGACACAGAACACGCCCCCACCCCUGGAGGCUCCACCCCCAAAGUCACGCGGGGGCCACUGACCAGCAGGCAUAGACUUCACCUUCUCUGGCCCCCGGCCCUUCCCGGCCUGGACAGGAGCAGACCGAAGGGGCUUGGCCUGUACCACACAGGCUGUGCCGGGUACGGCAGUGGGCCUCCCCCACACCGGGCUGGACCUGCCUCUGUAAACUGCCCGCCGGGACGGGGAGGUGAGACCGCACCUGCCAGCAGAGGCCAAGCUGAGAAGAGAAUGGACACACGCUUCCAUCUGUAGAAGCCAGCUCUCCCCUACGUCCUAAUGCUGGCACUCCCGUCCCGCGGGCCAGGACGGGAGCUCUGGAGUGGCUCCCCCUACACGCUGGACGGGCACGUUGACAAAGGGAAGGGGGCAUUGGUGGCCCUGAGGUCAGACCCUGCCAACUGUGCCUGCCAUUCGUGAAGACCCACCCUGGUCUCUCUGCGGACCACAGGGACCACCGCCUGGGUCUCAGAACCACACCGGCCCUCCAGUGCUCCCCCACCCAAGCCCACCCCACGUGACACAGACACACUCGGAAUUGUCUUCAAUAGUGCUCGGUCUGCAAAAGUGAUUGGUCGGCUGGCCCACUAAGCCCGCCUCCCCACGAAGAGAGAAGAAGAUCAUCUUUGUAUCAGCCUGAUCCUUUAAUGUGCCUCAAAGCUGCUGCUCGGGUCUAAAGCAGACCCCGGCCCGAGCAGGGAAUGGGUGGAGAGGUCUUAAUGGGGAGAUUAGUGUCUGCCCAGGCCGUGCCAGAGCAGGGUCCUAAGAGGAGAUUUUAGAGGUUGGGCAAUUUUUAAGGGCUUAAAUGUUUGAUAAUGCAGGGCUCAAUUGCAUUUAUACAUGUUGGGGCCUCGGCAGCAAUGUACCACCCCGGGCGUAAUGGAUGUUGCAAGAUUUGAUUUUAGUAGUUUAAAAAUACCCAAGUAGUCUGCAGGCUAAUGGCCAUUGGACAGACUCAUUAGUGUAUCAAUAAUCGUUCGGCAUUCUGAAAUCCUUUUAAUGCUCUGGGACAGCAAGAAGCAGGCUGUGGAAGGGAAGAAGGUCAUGGGGGAACUUGCGAGCCAGUUAAACAAGCGAAGACAAUGAAUGGCCUGGGCGUGCUCUCCGCCACCCGUGGACUGGUUUAGACAGCAGUGGGGUGGGGGGGA
RNAcentral lists this long non-coding RNA (1397 nucleotides) under Felis catus (domestic cat). RNAcentral describes it as "lncRNA (ENSFCAG00000046854.1)". Lineage: Eukaryota; Metazoa; Chordata; Mammalia; Carnivora; Felidae. The record is from RNAcentral.